CCUACGGGAGGCUGCAGUGGGGAAUAUUGCACAAUGGGGGAAACCCUGAUGCAGCGACGCCGCGUGAAGGAAGAAGUCUUUCGGUAUGUAAACUUCUAUCAGCAGGGAAGAAAAUGACGGUACCUGACUAAGAAGCCCCGGCUAACUACGUGCCAGCAGCCGCGGUAAUACGUAGGGGGCAAGCGUUAUCCGGAUUUACUGGGUGUAAAGGGAGCGUAGGCGGUUUAGCAAGUCAGAAGUGAAAGCCCGGGGCUCAACUCCGGGACUGCAUUUGAAACUGUUGAACUAGAUUGCAGGAGAGGUAAGUGGAAUUCCUAGUGUAGCGGUGAAAUGCGUAGAUAUUAGGAGGAACACCAGUGGCGAAGGCGGCUUGCUGGACUGUAAAUGACGCUGAGGCUCGAAAGCGUGGGGAGCAAACAGGAUUAGAUACCCCUGUAGUC
RNAcentral lists this ribosomal RNA (440 nucleotides) under uncultured bacterium. Its description in RNAcentral is "partial 16S ribosomal RNA". It matches the Rfam family "Bacterial small subunit ribosomal RNA", at positions 338 to 795 of the family's 1533-position model. The record is from RNAcentral.